UGUUGCACUAUCCAGAGAGUUAUACUCAGUAAACGUAAUACAACUUUUUUUCUGCCACAUGGCAUCGUUUUGUCAUUGAUUACAUGCCACUUUGCAACACAGUAAUACAACAGAGACC
Long non-coding RNA from Sander lucioperca (pikeperch), 118 nucleotides. RefSeq lists it as uncharacterized. The record is from RefSeq and is a predicted model, not a curated record. Lineage: Eukaryota; Metazoa; Chordata; Actinopteri; Perciformes; Percidae. The transcript is spliced from 3 exons.